AUCAGCUGCAUCAUUAAAUUAUAACAAGCCCUGACGGGCACUCCAGAAGCCUGGGUCUGUUUGUCCUUGCCGGCGGUCAGGAGGCAGUUAGCGAUUGGCUGGGCCUAGAGGCCUUAUCUCUGGCUGAUUAUUAUUUGAUUAAAGAGCCUUCCUCCUCUUGUGAGGUUUCGAAACUUGCAGGGGUUGUGGCGUCCACGCUGCAAGAGUUUGCUGCUGCCAGGGGACUUUUUCUGAGGUUCUGGCCAAGCACCCAAAGUCCCUCAGCUUUUGGCCAUACAAACAGGCACCCAGUGGAGUGGGACCUUAUCACUGACUCACCUGCACUCUUGGACCGAAAUCUCCAGAGCCUCUGUCAGCGUUGCCCGUCGACUGAUUGGACACAAUUUUUCAAACACCACAGAAUCAAGGCUCCAGCCCUGACUCCCCACUCUGGCUGAGGAGCUCGGACCUGACAGAUCAAGUUUGUUAGCACACAGCCACGCCCAUUUGUUUAGGUGUUGUUUGUGGCUGCUUUUGUACUAUAACAGCAGGGUUGAGUAGUUGCAAUCGAGACUGCAUGGCCACAAAGCCUGAAAUAUUGGCUGUCUGGCCCUUUAAACAAGAUGCUUACCAACUCCUGACUUGGACCUAAGUGUUGGAGUAGAACAUGUCCGUGUAAAAUAUUGUCUUGGUUCCUUGCUAGCUGUGACAUUCAAAAGGCUGCACAACCUCUCUGUGAAACCUAAUCUGUACCGCCGGAUAAUAGGUAAUACUUGCCUUGGAGGGUAGCUGUGAGAAGGUAGUGAGAAAUUCUUUGUAAGAACUUGCAGCUUUGUGUCUGGCACAGAAUAAAUGCUCAGCUAUUAUGAUGACCAUUCAUUCAUUUAUACAACACAUAUAUGUUUAGUGCUUUCUCUGUGGUAGGCUGGGAAACUACAGCAGUGAUCAACUCAUAGAAGGUCCCUGCUCUCAUGGAGGUCACACUCUAAUGGGAGAAAUCAGACAAUAAUCAAGAGAACAAAUAAAUCAGCAGAUUAUUUUCAGAUCAUGACAAGUGCUAUAAUUAAAAUUGGGCGAUCUGGUAGAAAGUGUUAAGGCAGGGGACAAAAAGUUGCUGGCUGAACUAAGACUUAAAAAUAAGAAUGAGUCAAACAUGCCAAUGUCUGGAGAAGAAAUGUUCCUGGCAGAGAAGGUGAUAAAUCCAGAGGCCCUGGGCCAGAGAUGACCUUGGGAUGGUCCUGGUACAGAGAGAAGGGCUGGCACAGAGGGAGGUAGAGGAGAAUUGUAGGGAACAAGGAAGGAGAGCCAGGCAGGGGCAAAAGCAUGCAGGAGCUUGCAGGGAAGACAUUUGAAUUUUAGGGGCAGGGGUGAAAUCUGUGACCACGGAUGGGGAGGAUCUGGACCAGGUCCUUGGCCUCUGCCUGUGAUCUUUGCUGUAAGGACUAUUAUCCUUCCUCCUUGGAUUCUAGCACUGGUGACUUUUGAAACAGGAGAUGAGGAGGGGCCCUAGAGAGCCCAUGUUGAAAUGGGAGCUCUUGGAUAUGGCAAGUCCAUCAUGCUCCCCCAGCUGGACCUAGCUACCUUGCUUGAGCUUUUCUCCUUACAGUGCCCCUGACUCACCUGAAAGUUCUUCUGACCAAUGCCAUUACCUCUUUGAGAGCAUUCUUAUCAGGAGAGCUCCAAUGCAAUUCCAGGUGGAGCACUUAAGGUGAAAACCACUUUAUGUAAUCUUAAAACCCUCUAAUAAAUUUCCAACAACCUAAGACUACCAGAUAAUCAGUUUAUCCCUAGGGUCACUCCGAAUUCAUUGCUUAGUUCCCAUAAUUAGCAUUUCUUUUAUGUCUGAACCGUUGAACAGCCGUGAAGAGCCCCAGUGAUAAUAUUUUAGCUGUUUGAGGUUUAAAAGAAAGCUUUAGAUACCAUCAGUUACUCAAACUGCUUCCACAGUUGCUAAUAAUAACAGCCACACAGUACUCAACAGUUUUAAAGCACUGCCACAUAAUUGGCUCAUUUAUAGGUAAAAGUCUACCUUUGACUACCAGCCUUUAUCCGUUUUGGAUGACUCCUCCAACUCCUCCUCCUACACCUCUUGCUCCUGCUUCUUCCUCAUCUUCAUUACUACAAAGCCCUUUAUUAGAAAGCAUCUGCCUCACUAACAGCAGUCAAUGCUUCAUACUUCCCUUACAAUGUGCAAAUACGGGAUUCUGUCUCAAGUUGCUUUAGACAUUGUUAAAAGAACAAGAUCAAAAUGUGGCUAUCUUCCAAAUCAUGCUUUCAAACACUGGGGCCACAAAUGACCUUGGAAAGGUGUUAUGAAUCCCCUGAAAUCGAAUGCAAAAUUUUAUAUGCACUCUUUUCCUGGGAAAGAGUGGGUUUUAUCAGAUUCUCAAAGAAUCCCCUAGCUCCCAGAAGUUAAGAAUUUUAAAGAUAUUUUAAAGAUAUUGCUGACUCAAUUAACAGGACAGUUAAAUCAUGCUGGGGUAGGGUAGCUAGUUCAGCAUGAAAUACUAAAAUACCUCAUUUUUCAAUUAUGAUCUAUGAAAGCAAGGGGGAUUGAUAUCUGAUCAAAUGAAAUCUUCCUUUCAGAGGACUGGACAUUUUCCUAGGAACUCUGUGGUAUAUGCAAAUAUUAUAUAAAGUCUAUGUGUGCUAGGCACUGCUUCCGUGCUUUUUAGAUUUUAACUCUUGUGGUAGGUUGAAUUAUGUACCUCAGAAAGAAAUACAGUCUUAAUCUUAACCCUUUCCUGUGGGUAUGAACCCAUUGUAAAUAGGACCUUUUGAAGAUGUUAUUUUAGUUGAGUGGCCAAGUGAAAUAGAAUGGAUCUUAAUCCAGAUUACAGAAGAAAUUCAGUGAUAGUAAGAGAAAGCCACAUAGAGGAGAAGAAUGGAAGUCAAUGGAACCUUUGAGAGAAAGGAGAAGACAUCUCCAAGUGACAGAAAAGCCAAGGACCCAAGGAUUGCUGGCAACCAGCCCCAGAACACCACAGUCUUCAUGUGGAAAGCACUGCCUUCCUGAUGCCUUGAUUUUGAACUUCUCCUACCCUCAAAACCAUGAACCAAUAAAUUCCCCCUUGGUUUAAGCCAAUCCAUUGUUUGGUAUUUGUUUUAGCCAUCAGGAAUCUAAGACAUCUCAUAAUCCUCACAACAAUCCUGUAAUGCAGUUACUAGUUACUAUUUUAAGUCCUCUUUUACAGAUGAGGGAAACUGAGGCAUGCAGUGAUUAAAAACUAUAGAUUGGGUUUACACUCAACAUUCCAAGAACAUUAAAAAUUCUGGAUAAUGUAAUUUGAAUAACUGUACCUACUGGUUCAGAAAAAUGAUCACUCUGGACAUGUUUGAACAGUGGCCAUGUUGUAAUCUUGAAGCAUAUGCCUGCUUAAUAACAGACUUCCUAUACAUGCCACUACUGAUUUUAUGAAUAAGAAUAGUUUAGCAGAUCACAUGCAGAGGAGAGCCAGCUGACUACUCUUCUUAAUUAGAAUUUGGCUGAGAGUCACUAUGAUAUAUAAAAUGGGGUUACUGCCUGAGCAGGUAAUUUUCUUGUUAUAACUACCGAAAAAUUCACACUGUAUACAUAAGGCAUGCCACAACUCUGAAGAGCUUAAAGUCAACUAUACCUUAUCUCUUGGAGCUUAAAGUUUCACUCAUUUCUGGAUUUGUUCAAUUGAUGAGACUUCAGAUAUAAUUCAUC
This 3670-nucleotide long non-coding RNA is filed under the name Dasypus novemcinctus (nine-banded armadillo). Its description in RNAcentral is "lncRNA (ENSDNOG00000051194.1)". The record is from RNAcentral. Lineage: Eukaryota; Metazoa; Chordata; Mammalia; Cingulata; Dasypodidae.